This 158-nucleotide ribosomal RNA is filed under the name Brevicellicium atlanticum. RNAcentral's name for it is "5.8S ribosomal RNA". It matches the Rfam family "5.8S ribosomal RNA". From Rfam's summary of the family: 5.8S ribosomal RNA (5.8S rRNA) is a component of the large subunit of the eukaryotic ribosome. It is transcribed by RNA polymerase I as part of the 45S precursor that also contains 18S and 28S rRNA. Lineage: Eukaryota; Fungi; Basidiomycota; Agaricomycetes; Trechisporales; Hydnodontaceae. The record is from RNAcentral.
CAACUUUCAACAACGGAUCUCUUGGCUCUCGCAUCGAUGAAGAACGCAGCGAAAUGCGAUAAGUAAUGUGAAUUGCAGAAUUCAGUGAAUCAUCGAAUCUUUGAACGCACCUUGCGCCCCUUGGUAUUCCGAGGGGCAUGCCUGUUUGAGUGUCUUGA